This is an RNA transcript of Zea mays, 3484 nucleotides long. RefSeq lists it as uncharacterized. NCBI's taxonomy places the organism in Eukaryota, Viridiplantae, Streptophyta, Magnoliopsida, Poales, Poaceae. The record is from RefSeq and is a predicted model, not a curated record. The transcript is spliced from 6 exons.
CGUCGAGUUCCAGGCCGCGCGCUCCAGCGGUCCAGCCAUAUCGCCCUCAGCGUCUCAGCCACAUCACGUCGAGGCGUCCAGUGGCUCCAGCGUCUCAGCGUAUGAUAAGCCAUGGGAUAUUUGUUCUCAUAAUGAAGGAAACAACUCAGACGGGGUUGAUUGGUUGGAAGAUAAAUCGGGUGGUGAUGUCGGCAAGAACAAAUCAGAUUACACUGAAGGCGGAGGUAGUGGUAGUAGACCUUGGUGCCAGUGCGUCUGCUCCUGCUAGGGCUGCGCCCAGUCUUCCACAAUUGAUCCAUAUUCGUCUGAGAUCAAUUAGAAAAAGGAAGCCAAUACAUAAGAGUGUCUAUGAUCUAUGAAAGAGUAUGUCAAGGGUGUCAGCUUCAGUGGAGAGAGAGCUUGUUCAUGAACAACCCACUGACGACGAUGCGUCUGCGCUGGCGUAUUUGGUUCGACGUCGUUGUCCAAACACGUAUCUCUUUUUUUAUGGACAUGCACUGGAGGACCGUGUUGUUCGGAUGACUUUUAUAGCUAAGCCGACCUAUUCCAGUAGGAGAAAAUACCUCAAUGACUUGCUAGAUGCUGAUCUUGUGAGCCUGAGUCGAGGUGACAGGAAAAGAUGGCAUAACAUGUGGGCUGCUGCUGAGGCAGCUGCUCAAGCUGCGAGGCUGCUGCUCAGGCUGAGCCUGCUGACCAUGCGGGCCAUGAAGACUAAACCUGAUGGCGCUGCCGGUUCUGUCUGUAGUUUAGAGCUGCAGUCGCUUAUCUACUUUCUACUAAUUCUAGAUCUUGUGAACUUAGGACAUUGUGCUUGUCAUGCCGAAUGUUUGGUGUUCUAAACUUUAGACACUGUGUUGCUGUUUUAAUUACUCAUGUAUCAAUGUUGUGAACUUAAGACAUUGUGCUAGUCACUUUAGACGUUAUGUUGCUACUUUCGAUCACUUUCUUGAUUUUUGCCACGGUGGCGGUGCCAGCGCUGAGGUCUAGGAGCCUGAGCUGGGCGGCGCUGAGGUCUAGGACUUCCUCAAGAGAUGCUGUAACCCUUCAGUUAAUAGGUAACUCAGUUACUCUAUAUUGUCUCAGUUAAUGGGGAACUCAGUUAAUCUUAUAUUUUAUAUCAGUUAAUGGAUAACUCAGUUAAUAUGCUGUAACCUUUCUGUUAAUGGAUAACUCAGUUAAUCCUCUAUAUUGUCUCAGUUAAUGGAUAACUCAGUUAAUUCCUUGUAAUGGAUCAGUUAACGGAGCGCUCAGUUAAUUUAUAAUAUAUCCUCGGUUAAUUGCUCACUCGGUUAAUACACUGUAACCCUUCAGUUAAUUCUGCACUCCCAUGUGGCUUUCGAUUACGGAAUAUUCUUAUAAAAAAUUAUAAAUAGUGCAUGUUCAAGACAGGAAUAUUUGAUUUUUUUAAUAUGGAAUAUUUCUAUAGCAAAGUGUAAAUAUUCCAUGUUCUAGUCAGGAAUAUUUGAUCUUUUACGGAAUAUUCUUAUAAAGGAGUGUAAAUAUUCCAUCUUUCAGACAGGAAUGUUUAAAGUUAUAAUAUGGAAUGUUCUUAUAACAAAUUGUAAAUAUUCCAUGUUUCAUUUCAGAAAUAUUUGACAUUUUAUUACGGAAUAUUCUUAUAACCCAUACACCCUAAAAACACUAAACCUAAAAAAACCCCUAAACCAAUACCCUGAACCCAAAACCCUUCCGAUACGCUAAGCUACGUGAGGGGCUCAACUCAUGUAGUUGGCUAUUCGGACGUGAAGGCUACAAACACCAAACGACGUGGUGCUUGUAUGAUAGACUCAAACACCAACCGAAAUGGUUUUUGACUUAUAGGUAGCAAAACCCCCGUCACCUGUGUUUAGAACCCACCUAAAGCUGUUCAUCGCGGUCUAGAGGCCAUUUUGGAGAAGGGUUUACCUGGAUCCGCUCUUAACGUAGUUGUCACACCGCGUACAUGGCAGUAGGAGGAAUUAAAUAUAGCACAUCGUGCAUCUAGGAAUAGCAGAUGGGCCGUCGGUCGUGGGCUGCCACGACAUAUAACUAGCACGUCCAGGUUUACGUAAUAGCACAUCCAGGUUUACGUAAUAGCACAUUGAACCAAAAUGUUAUUCAACUGUGAACAAGCUACAAAAAUAUUUGAUGGAAUAGCUAGAGAAUGAAACCAAAUGAGAGUUAUAUUUCCCAGAAUGAAAGAGAGGAAAGCACAAUUUUACUCUGGAUGUGCUAUUACGUAAACCUGGACGUGCUAGUUAUAUGUCGUGGUAGCCCACGACCGACGGCAUCAAAGGUGCAUUGCUACUCUAUUGGGGACGGUACAACAAGCUUACGCGACAGUUGUCAAGUGGCGCAGGCCCGAUAAAGCUCUCACUUGAAGAGAUAAAAAAAGAACUUGAAUCGGGUAAAUACGAAUGUAUGUUGCAAUAUUUGGAUCAGCUCACACAUAUAUUUGUAACGUGUGAUGAGCAUAAGUCACCAUCAGUAGCUGCGUAUUGUGCCAAUAUUAGAUGUGGGAACUUAAGUAGUGCAAGUACUGGGAAGCGCAACAUUGACGAGACCUCUUCCAGCCAUGUUCGGCAGAAGAGCUCGAAAGUUCAUGUGGCUCAGUCAUUACAAAAUGGCAUGACCCACGAGGAUGCAAUGCAAUUUCUUAAAGACCAUGACAUCUUAGGUGGUACUUUAAAAUUUUGUAUAGCCAAUAAGUUACUUAAAGACUAUCAAAAUCUGAGUACGUUCUCCCGUCUGGAAUCCCUUGAGGAAAGGAUCAGUUUCCUGGAAGGAACCUGGAAAUUAGAAUCUGAUGGGUCAGUUUCCUGGCAGUAACCUGGAAAUUAGAAUCUGAUCCCUCUUCCUUAAAGGUAAGCCAGUUUGUUUAGGUCUUCUGUAGUCAUGUCAGUUAUUUAUCUUGUUCUUGUGUUUUUUUGCUAGUCUAGUCUGACCUUGAUAUCUAAGGGGCCAGCUAAAAGCAAAUACAUGUCAUGGAGACUGCAUUCAGCCUUGGUUUCUUUCUGUCUACCUUUUGAAAGUAAUGAUGACUGUAUAUUGCUUUCUGAACAACCUGUUAUUGCUUUCUGAAAGGUUUACCCUAGAGCGAUGUGGUUUCUCAAACAAGCUACUUGGCAUUUAUUUUCUUUGUGGCAAUGUUCUAUGGAUGUAACUAUGAACUACGUACUAGUAUGCUGCCCGAUGCAGUGAUGUUCUCUUCUGGAGAGGGAUGCGGAUGCCAUUCAGCAAGCAAUGCCAAGGAAGAUUAGUGCAUGGAAAGUGUAUGGAAUUGUUCAUGCUUCAUUGUUGUUGUUUUGGCCUUGCUGUUUGGCCUGGUGUUGAGUUUGGCUGGCCCCGUUUGAAAUGGCCUUAGAACCAGUGAUGUUUAGCUGAUGAUACCUAGAUAUUCUGCUUUUGGUAUGUUGAAAUAUUGUGACUUGUGAUUUCUAAACUCCAGCUGAAUACUGCUAUUCCAAGUCAUACAAUGCACGUGUGAACGUAGUGCAUUUCACUU